AUUGAACGCUGGCGGCAUGCCUUACACAUGCAAGUCGAACGGUAACAGGUCUUCGGAUGCUGACGAGUGGCGAACGGGUGAGUAAUACAUCGGAACGUGCCCGAUCGUGGGGGAUAACGGAGCGAAAGCUUUGCUAAUACCGCAUACGAUCUACGGAUGAAAGCAGGGGACCGCAAGGCCUUGCGCGGACGGAGCGGCCGAUGGCAGAUUAGGUAGUUGGUGGGAUAUAAGCUUACCAAGCCGACGAUCUGUAGCUGGUCUGAGAGGACGACCAGCCACACUGGGACUGAGACACGGCCCAGACUCCUACGGGAGGCAGCAGUGGGGAAUUUUGGACAAUGGGCGAAAGCCGGAUCCAGCAAUGCGGCGUGAAGGAUGAAGGCCUUCGGGUUGGAAACUGCUUUUGUACGGAACGAAAAGACUCUUUCUAAUAAAGAGGGUCCAUGACGGUACCGUAAGAAUAAGCACCGGCUAACUACGUG
This 482-nucleotide ribosomal RNA is filed under the name uncultured bacterium. Its description in RNAcentral is "partial 16S ribosomal RNA". It matches the Rfam family "Bacterial small subunit ribosomal RNA", at positions 30 to 507 of the family's 1533-position model. The record is from RNAcentral.